AUCGAGAAGACCAACAGGGAUUGCCCUAGUAACGGCGAGUGAAGCGGCAACAGCUCAAAUUUGAAAUCUGGCUCUCGGGCCCGAGUUGUAAUUUGUAGAGGAUACUUUUGAUGCGGUGCCUUCCGAGUUCCCUGGAACGGGACGCCAUAGAGGGUGAGAGCCCCGUCUGGUUGGAUGCCAAAUCUCUGUAAAGUUCCUUCGACGAGUCGAGUAGUUUGGGAAUGCUGCUCUAAAUGGGAGGUAUAUGUCUUCUAAAGCUAAAUACCGGCCAGAGACCGAUAGCGCACAAGUAGAGUGAUCGAAAGAUGAAAAGCACUUUGAAAAGAGAGUUAAAAAGUACGUGAAAUUGUUGAAAGGGAAGCGUUUAUGACCAGACUUGGGCUUGGUUAAUCAUCUGGGGUUCUCCCCAGUGCACUUUUCCAGUCCAGGCCAGCAUCAGUUUUCGCCGGGGGAUAAAGACUUCGGGAAUGUGGCUCUCUUCGGGGAGUGUUAUAGCCCGUUGUGUAAUACCCUGGCGGGGACUGAGGUUCGCGCAUCUGCAAGGAUGCUGGCGUAAUGGUCAUCAACGACCCGUCUUGAAACACGGACCAAGGAGUCGUCUUCGUAUGCGAGUGUUCGGGUGUCAAACCCCUACGCGUAAUGAAAGUGAACGCAGGUGAGAGCUUCGGCGCAUCAUCGACCGAUCCUGAUGUUCUCGGAUGGAUUUGAGUAAGAGCAUACGGGGCCGGACCCGAAAGAAGGUGAACUAUGCCUGUAUAGGGUGAAGCCAGAGGAAACUCUGGUGGAGGCUCGCAGCGGUUCUGACGUGCAAAUCGAUCGUCAAAUAUGGGCAUGGGGGCGAAAGACUAAUCGAACCUUCUAGUAGCUGGUUUCCG
Molecule: non-coding RNA, 875 nt
Filed under: Fusarium citri
Lineage: Eukaryota; Fungi; Ascomycota; Sordariomycetes; Hypocreales; Nectriaceae
Description: sequence contains 28S rRNA gene
Rfam family: Eukaryotic large subunit ribosomal RNA
Source: RNAcentral